RNAcentral lists this long non-coding RNA (1062 nucleotides) under Apteryx haastii (Great spotted kiwi). RNAcentral's name for it is "lncRNA (ENSAHAG00000003867.1)". The record is from RNAcentral. Lineage: Eukaryota; Metazoa; Chordata; Aves; Apterygiformes; Apterygidae.
AUGAGAAGUGUACAAUCUGAAAAUAUGGGAAUUCCUACCUGUCCCAACUGCCAGCCCCGCCCCAACUGCCAUGUCAUCCCAACUGCCGGCCCCGCCCCAACUGCCAUGUCUGCCCCAACUGCCAGCCCCUCCCCAACUGCCAUGUCUGUCCCAACUGCUGGCCCUGUCCCAACUGCUGGCCCCUCCCCAACUGCCGCACCUGUCCCAACUGCCGGCCCCAUCCCAACUGCCGGCCCCACCCCAACUGCCACAUUGUCCCAACUGCUGGCCCCGCCCCAACUGCCAUGUCUGCCCCAACUGCCAGCCCCUCCCCAACUGCCAUGUCUGUCCCAACUGCUGGCCCCUCCCCAACUGCUGCACCUGUCCCAACUGCUGGCCCCACCCCAACUGCCGCACCUGUCCCAACUGCCACACCUGUCCCAACUGCCGGCCCCACCCCAACUGCCACAUUGUCCCAACUGCUGGCCCCGCCCCAACUGCCAUGUCUGUCCCAACUGCUGGCCCCGCCCCAACUGCCGCACCUGUCCCAACUGCCGGCCCCUCCCCAACUGCCACGUCUGCCCCAACUGCCGGCCCCGCCCCAACUGCCACAUUGUCCCAACUGCUGGCCCCGCCCCAACUGCCAUGUCUGUCCCAACUGCCGGCCCUGCCCCAACUGCUGCACCUGUCCCAACUGCCAGCCCCUCCCCAACUGCCAUGUCUGCCCCAACUGCCAGCCCCGCCCCAACUGCCAUGUCUGUCCCAACUGCUGCCAGAGCCCUGUCCUCAGGCGGCCCAGGUGUCACCGAGGUGGUCCUCGUCAGCGGCACGGCCUGGGGUGAAGGCCCACCGCAGCUAAAAGCUAACUGCGCAAAAGUCCGCAGGAGAUGGCUCUGCACCAAGCAGGUCUGUUCCUCCUCAAACUGCAAUCGCACCCAGGGGUUGAGUUACGGCGGCCGCCCUGGGUGCCUCCCCGCUGGCGCUCACCCUGUCUCAGUGCUCGUGGUGCGGACGAUUGAGGUAGGGGAGGCCAGCUGUGAGACACAGAGCAAGGAGCCGCAUGUCAUCGGGGUGGCAAGUUAA